This is a long non-coding RNA of Trachemys scripta elegans, 728 nucleotides long. RefSeq lists it as uncharacterized. The record is from RefSeq and is a predicted model, not a curated record. Lineage: Eukaryota; Metazoa; Chordata; Testudines; Emydidae. The transcript has 4 exons.
AUAUUUCCAGUGCCUGCCUUGUUCUCGGCCUUCCUCCUGUCAUGCCCAGUCUGCUCCAGCCCUGCUUUCCUACUGACUUCCUGGCUCCUGCACCAACCACUAGACCUGACAGUCUGCAUCCCAGGUUGUGACAACAAUAAGGCCACAGAAGUACCUGAAUGGAUAUUGGCAGCAAGAUUGGGAUCCCUUUGUACAAAUGCAUAUGAAGAGUCACUUUCUGCUCCAAAGGUCUUAAAAUCUAAAGAGAAAAGACAAAGAAAUGGUGGGAGCAGAAACAGAGGUGAAGUGACUUGCCCAAAUUACCCAGGAGUUGAGCUGGAAAUAGAACAUAGGUCUCCUGAUUCCCAGCUCCACGAUCAUGGAAGAACUGUGGGUGGAUCCCUGGGCCUCAGUGUGCUCCACGAAGGCACAGGGUUCUGUACAGAACUCCUUGCAGGAUAAGUGCCUAAGUCUUGAUAUUCAAAUUUCACAUCAGUGCUUUGUACCCAGCAUGUUAUUUCCAAUGACUUCUCACAGGUACUGGAUACUCAAUAGCAAUGUCUACAAGAAUGCCUUCUUCCAUGUAUUCUCUCUGGAAGGCUAUGUCCCAACCUGACUAAUAUAGACUUGGUCAUAAUGAUCUAUGCAUUCCAACCUGAGAAUGAAACUACAAUCAAAGAAAUAUCUCCAGAUGGUGCAAUACAGAGCAGUCCACCGGAACAACACAGGUUGUUGUAAGUAUAUGUUGU